RNAcentral lists this ribosomal RNA (259 nucleotides) under uncultured bacterium. RNAcentral describes it as "partial 16S ribosomal RNA". It matches the Rfam family "Bacterial small subunit ribosomal RNA", at positions 92 to 354 of the family's 1533-position model. The record is from RNAcentral.
UGAGUGGCGGACGGGUGAGUAACGCGUGGGCAACCUGGCCUGUACAGGGGAUAACACUUAGAAAUAGGUGCUAAUACCGCAUAACGGGAGAAGCCGCAUGGCUUUUCCUGAAAACUCCGGUGGUACAGGAUGGGCCCGCGUCUGAUUAGCCAGUUGGCAGGGUAACGGCCUACCAAAGCGACGAUCAGUAGCCGGCCUGAGAGGGCGGACGGCCACACUGGGACUGAGACACGGCCCAGACUCCUACGGAAGGCAGCAG